Durio zibethinus is the source of this 525-nucleotide long non-coding RNA. RefSeq lists it as uncharacterized. The record is from RefSeq and is a predicted model, not a curated record. Lineage: Eukaryota; Viridiplantae; Streptophyta; Magnoliopsida; Malvales; Malvaceae.
UUUUCCUUUUCCUUUUCUUUUUCUUCUCUGGUUGACCACCACUGCCCCAUCCUUUUCUCCAUAUUUCUACUUUCUUGUAAUCAAACUAUUUCUGUUAACCAAGUUGGAAUUCUAGGUAUUUUUUGGUUCUUGUCCUAGAAUUAUUUCAUAUGUAUUUUUGUUUUGUUUUUCUAGGGUUGUGGAAACAAAUGGGAAAAACAUUAAUAAGACUAACGCUACAUGAUCAAAACACUCUAUCACGAAGCAGAGGAUGCGGAGUAAGAUUAAUGAAAGAUUUCAAAUAUUGAGAGAUUUAAUACCAAACGCUGAUCAAAAGAGAGAUACAUAUGGCUUCAUUCCUACUAGAGGUGAUAGAGUAUGUCCAAUAUUUACAAGAGAGGGUUCAAAAAUGUAAGGGUUCAUACCAGGGACGGAGUUCCCAGCCCAUAAAAUUAAAGCCAUGGUUAUGUUUAUAUAAUGAUUGUUUUCUAUUUUAAGGUUUAAAUAAUAUGUUUUUUUUGGCGUAAGCAGUUAAUUUGCGAUUUA